Molecule: long non-coding RNA, 1015 nt
Organism: Octopus sinensis (East Asian common octopus)
Lineage: Eukaryota; Metazoa; Mollusca; Cephalopoda; Octopoda; Octopodidae
Exons: 3
Source: RefSeq, a predicted model, not a curated record
UAUGGCUUGUGAGUUAUUUACUUACAGCACAAUUGUUUUUGGCAGCAUAGUGAAGUGGAGUAGCACUGUUGGAGUCUGAACAAGCAUAAUCAGCACCAUUGUCCAGUAAAAUACUGAUGAUUUGUGAGUGACCUGGGAACAGAAUUUGAUAGGAACAGCAAGUAUAAUUAAUGAUUUCAUCUAAGAUCAGUAUGAUAGGACAGUAAAUGGAGCUGAGAGUAGCUGAAAGGUACUAGCUAAAAUGCUGCAUUGGAUAAAAAAAAAAGAAGACAAAACAAAACAAAACAAUCACAAAAAAAGCAAAUGAAAAUCAAUGAAUUAUUGAAUGGAAACCAAAUGACAUAUAAACGGUAAUUCUCAGUUGCUGUGGAAAAUGUAAAAAAGAAGAAGAGGAAACUAAUCAGGAAAUAGGAAACAGUUGAAGAAAGAUGAAUGAAGCAUUCAAUGAACGCGAUAAUGUGAGUGUUGAGUAUUAACUCAACUAAAACUCAUUGCAACAGAAAAGAACUAAAAUGGAAACAUGACUGAAAUUAGUGCUUGGUCACAUCCUAGGAACAGCUUGAUGUAUUAAUGAACAGUCAAUAAUGUUGGAGAUGAUAAAGAUUAAAGUUGUAGUUGAAGAAAAGUUGGCUGACACGGAGGGCUGUAAGCUAUUUGAAUAUUGGAAAAUCAUUACCUGUAUCACGAUGAUUCAAAAUAAAUAUCAAAAUACCAACAUCAUGACUGCUAUUCAAUGCUCUGUGAACUCUGUAAAGGCUGUAAGAUGUGACAUGGACAUCUGUAAUGGAGACUACUAAGCCUCAGCCAGCAGGAAAGAACACAGCAGGUAUUCUAAUUAUGUUUGCAUGCAGGAAGUCAUCUAGCAACUGCAGGACAAGGUGAUAGAAAAUUUGAGCAAGAAAAUCUGGGCUUUGAUGAGAGAAAGAUGGGUGUUGGAGUAGCUACCAUGAAGUUGGCCCUGAAUGGGGAUCUUCACAAUUACUUGUAAAAGUGGUGUAAGGGGGAAAUCCUAACA